Small nuclear RNA from Schistocerca americana (American grasshopper), 188 nucleotides. RefSeq annotates it as U2 spliceosomal RNA. The record is from RefSeq and is a predicted model, not a curated record. Lineage: Eukaryota; Metazoa; Arthropoda; Insecta; Orthoptera; Acrididae. The transcript has a single exon.
UUCGCUUCUCGGCCUUUUGGCUAAGAUCAAAGUGUAGUAUCUGUUCUUAUCAGCUUAAGAUGAGCUGAAAUGGACUGAUUACUGCACCGGGAAGCGGUCGUUUUUAUUCUCCUGUUUCAGGUCCGCGACCUGAACAAUGGAGCUUGUGGUGACGCUGCCGGCGGAGGUCUUCCGCUGCCGGAUCUGUU